GAUCUCUCACACCAUCCAAAAUUUAUUCCUGAAUUUAUUAGGAAGCAAAAGGAGGGUAAUUUUGAUAUUGUCUCUGGAACUCGCUACAAAGGAAAUGGAGGUGUAUAUGGCUGGGAUUUGAAAAGAAAAAUAAUCAGUGAUGGGGUUUUGCCAUGUUGCCCAGGCUGGUCACUCCUGGGCUCAAGUGAUCCACCCAUCUUGGCCUCCUGGGAUUACAGGUGUGAGCCACCGCGCCUAGCCAGAUCUGAUUGUUUUAUUUGGCAGCCGUGGGGCCAAUUUUUUAACUCAGAUCUUGCUGAGACCAGGAGCAUCUGAUUUAACAGGAAGUUUCAGAUUAUACCGAAAAGAAGUUCUAGAGAAAUUAAUAGAAAAAUGUGUUUCUAAAGGCUACGUCUUCCAGAUGGAGAUGAUUGUUCGGGCAAGACAGUUGAAUUAUACUAUUGGCGAGGUUCCAAUAUCAUUUGUGGAUCGUGUUUAUGGUGAAUCCAAGUUGGGAGGAAAUGAAAUAGUAUCUUUCUUGAAAGGAUUAUUGACUCUUUUUGCUACUACAUAAAAGAAAGAUACUCAUUUAUAGUUACGUUCAUUUCAGUUUAAACAUGAAAGAAGCCUGGUUACUGAUUUGUAUAAAAUGUACUCUUAAAGUGUAAAAUAUAAGGUAAGGUAAAUUUCAUGCAUCUUUUUAUGAAGACCACCUAUUUUAUAUUUCAAAUUAAAUAAUUUUAAAGUUGCUGGCCUAAUGAGCAAUGUUCUCAAUUUUCGUUUUCAUUUUGCUGUAUUGAGACCUAUAAA
RNAcentral lists this small RNA (789 nucleotides) under Pan troglodytes (chimpanzee). Its description in RNAcentral is "processed transcript". The record is from RNAcentral. Lineage: Eukaryota; Metazoa; Chordata; Mammalia; Primates; Hominidae.